RNAcentral lists this ribosomal RNA (264 nucleotides) under uncultured archaeon. Its description in RNAcentral is "partial 16S ribosomal RNA". It matches the Rfam family "Archaeal small subunit ribosomal RNA", at positions 717 to 982 of the family's 1478-position model. The record is from RNAcentral.
ACACGACUACAUUAGAUACCCCGGUAGUCCUAGCCCUAAACGAUGCGCGUUAGGUGUAUCGGUGACCACGAGUCACCGAGGUGCCGAAGGGAAACCGUGAAACGUGCCGCCUGGGAAGUACGGUCGCAAGGCUGAAACUUAAAGGAAUUGGCGGGGAGCACCACAACGGGUGGAGCCUGCGGUUUAAUUGGACUCAACGCCGGGAAGCUCACCGGAUAAGACAGCGGAAUGAUUGCCGGGCUGAAGACCCUGCAUGACCAGCUG